UCCCAAAUGGAUAUAUCCAGUUGUGCACAAUACAUCAUUUMGUUCAAAAAAGGGACUUUUUACUUCUUGGACAAAGAUUUAACUGACCGACUAAACAGCGAGUUGUAAGAUUGCAACGUGAAGGAGCAGAUUGCCUCCAUGAGACGUAAUGAAGGAAACAGCGCCAUUAUAUUAAAGUUUAUGCCUAGUAUGCUAAUGGAAUAAUGACAAACCACGCUUGCGAAAAGCAUGGUGUAUGUAUUGUACAAUUUCUAUGACGAUCAGAUGUUCUUCAAUACCCAUUCAUAGGUAUGA
This is a long non-coding RNA of Exaiptasia diaphana, 294 nucleotides long. RefSeq lists it as uncharacterized. The record is from RefSeq and is a predicted model, not a curated record. NCBI's taxonomy places the organism in Eukaryota, Metazoa, Cnidaria, Anthozoa, Actiniaria, Aiptasiidae. The transcript is spliced from 3 exons.